GGUCGAAUGGUGCAAUUGGUAGCACCUGCAGAUUGGUUGAACCAUUUUGUCAACUACUCGCUGCGUGACCCUUGUUCAAAUCAAGGUUCAGCCC
Molecule: non-coding RNA, 94 nt
Organism: Mycena metata
Lineage: Eukaryota; Fungi; Basidiomycota; Agaricomycetes; Agaricales; Mycenaceae
Source: the annotation of a GenBank genome assembly